RNAcentral lists this ribosomal RNA (450 nucleotides) under uncultured bacterium. RNAcentral's name for it is "bacterial SSU rRNA". It matches the Rfam family "Bacterial small subunit ribosomal RNA", at positions 29 to 500 of the family's 1533-position model. The record is from RNAcentral.
AACGAACGCUGGCGGCAUGCCUAAUACAUGCAAGUCGAACGAGAUCUUCGGAUCUAGUGGCGCACGGGUGCGUAACGCGUGGGAACGUACCCUGAGGUACGGAAUAACCGAGGGAAACUUCGGCUAAUACCGUAUGAGCCCCGUGAGGGGGAAAGAUUUAUCGCCUUAGGAGCGGCCCGCGUCGGAUUAGCUAGUUGGUGGGGUAACGGCUUACCAAGGCUUCGAUCCGUAGCUGGUCUGAGAGGACGAUCAGCCACACUGGGACUGAGACACGGCCCAGACUCCUACGGGAGGCAGCAGUGGGAAUCUUGCGCAAUGGGGGGAAACCCUGACGAAGCAACGCCGCGUGGAGGAUGAAGGCCUCGGUCGUAACUCCUGUCGACUGGGAAGAAUGCACCUGACCUAAUACGUCAAAGUGUUGACUGUACCGGUGGAGGAAGCCACGGCUAA